Molecule: ribosomal RNA, 663 nt
Filed under: Chalepogenus sp. 2 AM-2017
Lineage: Eukaryota; Metazoa; Arthropoda; Insecta; Hymenoptera; Apidae
Description: partial 28S ribosomal RNA
Rfam family: Eukaryotic large subunit ribosomal RNA
Source: RNAcentral
AAACCGUUCAGGGGUAAACCUGAGAAACCCAAAAGAUCGAAUGGGGAGAUUCAUCGUCAACGGCGCUGGCUCCCGUUGGUGCGCGAUGCUCCGGAUGGGCCCUCGUGGUUCCAUGGUGAGGGCACGCCGCCUUCGGCUUGAAUGUUCCGGUGCCGUAGUCGUGCACUUCUCCCCUAGUAGAACGUCGCGACCCGUUGUGUGUCGGUCUACGGCCCGAGCGGGCGCCUGUCGCGUCGCCUCGCGCGCACGCGUCAGACCCUCGGUCGCCUGGCCGGCUGCACGACGGUACUCACACGGUAUCGGGCCGCAACCUAUCCAUUCUCGAAUGUGUGUGCGUCAGGCCCGCCGCAAGCUCGGUCAGUUCUUACCCGGUGGUACGGACCUGGUGCCGUCCCCGGGCCUGACCAGCUGUUAGCAGGCGGUGUCCUCGGACAGGCCAAGCUUCGAAUUACCGGUCGGCGACGCUACUGCUUUGGGUACUCUCAGGACCCGUCUUGAAACACGGACCAAGGAGUCUAACAUGUGCGCGAGUCAUUGGGAUGCAUAAACCUAAAGGCGAAAUGAAAGUGAAGGUCGUCCUUUGCGUCGACCGAGGGAGGAUGGGCCGCGUUACUAGGCGGCCCCGCACUCCCGGGGCGUCUCGUUCUCAUUGCGAGAAGAGGC